RNAcentral lists this ribosomal RNA (211 nucleotides) under Escherichia coli. RNAcentral describes it as "partial 23S ribosomal RNA". It matches the Rfam family "Bacterial large subunit ribosomal RNA", at positions 481 to 695 of the family's 2925-position model. The record is from RNAcentral. Lineage: Bacteria; Pseudomonadati; Pseudomonadota; Gammaproteobacteria; Enterobacterales; Enterobacteriaceae.
UGACCGAUAGUGAACCAGUACCGUGAGGGAAAGGCGAAAAGAACCCCGGCGAGGGGAGUGAAAAAGAACCUGAAACCGUGUACGUACAAGCAGUGGGAGCCUCUUUAUGGGGUGACUGCGUACCUUUUGUAUAAUGGGUCAGCGACUUAUAUUCUGUAGCAAGGUUAACCGAAUAGGGGAGCCGAAGGGAAACCGAGUCUUAACUGGGCGU